RNAcentral lists this ribosomal RNA (509 nucleotides) under uncultured bacterium. RNAcentral describes it as "bacterial SSU rRNA". It matches the Rfam family "Bacterial small subunit ribosomal RNA", at positions 28 to 527 of the family's 1533-position model. The record is from RNAcentral.
GACGAACGCUGGCGGCGUGGAUUAGGCAUGCAAGUCGAACGGUAUCAUCCUUUCGGGGGUGAGAGAGUGGCGAACUGGUGAGUAACACGUAGGUUAUCUACCCUCAAGACGGGGACAACCCAGGGAAACUUGGGCUAAUACCGGAUGUGAGCAACUUUUUAGUUGUUUGAAAGGUGGCGUAAGCUGUCGCUUGGGGAUGAGCCUGCGUCCUAUUAGUUAGUUGGUGAGGUAACGGCUCACCUAGGCAAUGAUAGGUAGGCGGCCUUAACGGGUGGUCGCCCACACUGGGAUUGAGAUACGGCCCAGACUCCUACGGGAGGCAGCAGUCGAGAAUAGUCUACAAUGGUCGGAAGACUGAUAGUGCGACGCCGCGUGAACGAUGAAUCCCUUCGGGGUUAAAGUUCUUUUAUAUGUGAGCAGUGCUUCUUAUAUUAACAGUAUGGGGAGAGAGAUAUUAGCAUAUGAAUAAGCAACGGCUAACUCCGUGCCAGCAGCCGCGGUAAGCAACG